This 69-nucleotide transfer RNA is filed under the name Euceros kiushuensis. Its description in RNAcentral is "tRNA-Leu". Lineage: Eukaryota; Metazoa; Arthropoda; Insecta; Hymenoptera; Ichneumonidae. The record is from RNAcentral.
AUUACUUUGACAGAUAUAAAUGUAUUAAAUUUAGAAUUUAUUUAUGUAAAUAAAAAUUUACAAGUAAUA